GAUGAACGCUGGCGGCGUGCCUAAUACAUGCAAGUCGAGCGAACAGACGAGGAGCUUGCUCCUCUGACGUUAGCGGCGGACGGGUGAGUAACACGUGGAUAACCUACCUAUAAGACUGGGAUAACUUCGGGAAACCGGAGCUAAUACCGGAUAAUAUAUUGAACCGCAUGGUUCAAUAGUGAAAGACGGUUUUGCUGUCACUUAUAGAUGGAUCCGCGCCGCAUUAGAUAGUUGGUAAGGUAACGGCUUACCAAGGCGACGAUGCGUAGCCGACCUGAGAGGGUGAUCGGCCACACUGGAACUGAGACACGGUCCAGACUCCUACGGGAGGCAGCAGUAGGGAAUCUGCCGCAAUGGGCGAAAGCCUGACGGAGCAACGCCGCGUGAGUGAUGAAGGUCUUCGGAUCGUAAAACUCUGUUAUUAGGGAAGAACAAAUGUGUAAGUAACUAUGCACGUCUUGACGGUACCUAAUCAGAAAGCCACGGCUAACUACGUG
RNAcentral lists this ribosomal RNA (497 nucleotides) under uncultured bacterium. RNAcentral's name for it is "partial 16S ribosomal RNA". It matches the Rfam family "Bacterial small subunit ribosomal RNA", at positions 28 to 507 of the family's 1533-position model. The record is from RNAcentral.